UGACACCCUUACACACCGAAGUAUCGAUACACACACACACACACACACACACACAUUUGCAGAGCAUGACCACUUUCUCGCGUUCCCCAGGGGGACUACUCAUCUGCCACCCCCCUCCCCCGCCUUCUCUCCCUCCUUUGCUCUUCAACGUAGCACUUCCUCACAGUUUCUUUGUGUUGCUGCUGCAGCAGCCGACUUCAUCGCACUCACAUCCGAUACGCCCUCUCCUCGACAGACAGGAGCACACUCGCACGACGAGCAGCGGCGCACUUGCGCGUCCUUCUGCAGAUCGCCUCAAUGGGAUUUACUGCUUGGGCGGCGUGCUCCGUAUUGUUUCCACAGCUCCGCUGCGGGACCACACAUGUGCACGUUGGCAAGACCCGCUUCACGGUACACCACUGAUACGGCGAGACGGUGACGUCGACGAACGGGGAGGCAUGCUGAUCAUCCACCACGGCGCGAGCGCCGAGUAGUACACCUUCUACACUGUCGAGGCGACCUCGUCCGUCGACGGGGCUUGUCUGGACGCCAUCAUAGUGCUGCUCAUCGCGUGCUGAACCCCACGCAAGCACCCCGACUGCUUCGGCGCCAUCACGCUUUUUUUUUUGACCGUCGGGGCCUCCGCCUACUGCGCCGUUACCCUUGCUCUGCCUGUGCACGUGUCCGUGACGAACAUUGGCGGUGCUGAAUUCACCACAGAAGUCCACGUGUAGGCUGUUGGAUCGCUUUGGCCUGCUCUAUGCCGCCACGGGUGGUUGCCUGAUGACGCUCCUUCUGGAAGGGAUUGGGCACUGUUACCGCGGCUACAUCGCCGCCGCCCCCGACAGUAACGACAACGCGAACUCCUGCAAAAUCAGCACCGCGCCUCUGCACGCCACCAAACCCCGCUUCUCUCACUGUUGUGUAGCAUGCCGUCCUCGCUGUUCCUCUCGCUCUCUACUGCCUACUUCGCGCGACUGACCCUUUUCUUUGUGCGAGUGCGUAGUUCCCUGAUGAUGCGGGGCACCUCAGCACGGUGUCAGGGUCCCACACGCGCUCGGUGUGGGGGAGGCCACGCAGCCGGCAGCCUGCCGUCGGGUACGGCUGGCGGACUCUUGGCGUUUCGGCGGGCUGGGACGGCGGUGUGCGGAAGAGGCGUGCGGCCAUGACGGCGUUUGUACCCGCUCACUACGAAUCUUGCCGGCGAAGGAACGAGUAGAGGCAUCCGCCUGCUGUUUUUGUAUCUUGGCCGCGUUGCAGUGGUGCUGAACGCGAUUGUGGGCGUGGCCUGCGCUGCAUGUAGUGACAUGACGGUGGGCUGAGCGGCGCCAGACGGUGCUGGCUGGCCCGGCUCCCUUGGCACAGCCGAUGUGCAGCAGGCCUAGGUCGACUGUGGCUGCAUGCGUGUAGUGUGGUUGACCUGCCCGUGGGCGAACGGACACACGCC
RNAcentral lists this unclassified non-coding RNA (1426 nucleotides) under Leishmania donovani. RNAcentral describes it as "gene:unknown". Lineage: Eukaryota; Euglenozoa; Kinetoplastea; Trypanosomatida; Trypanosomatidae. The record is from RNAcentral.